AUUGAACGCUGGCGGAAUGCUUUACACAUGCAAGUCGAACGGCAGCACGGACUUCGGUCUGGUGGCGAGUGGCGAACGGGUGAGUAAUGUAUCGGAAUGUGCCCAGUCGUGGGGGAUAACGUAGUGAAAAUUACGCUAAUACCGCAUACGAUCUAUGGAUGAAAGCGGGGGAUCGCAAGACCUCGCGCGAUUGGAGCGGCCGAUAUCAGAUUAGGUAGUUGGUGGGGUAAAGGCCCACCAAGCCAACGAUCUGUAGCUAAUAGGGGAGGACGACCAGCCACACUUAAACUGUGACACGGUCCAGACUCCUACGGGAGGCAGCAUUGGGGAAUUGUGGACAAUAGGCUAAAUCCUGAUCCAGCCAUUACGUGUGCAGGAUGAAGGCCCUCGGUUUGUAAACUGCUUUUGCAGAGAACGAAAAGGUUUCUACUAGUACUAGGAGCUCAUGACGGUACUAUAAGAAUAAGCACUGGCUAUGUACGUUCCAGCAGCCCCCUUAA
Molecule: ribosomal RNA, 500 nt
Filed under: uncultured bacterium
Lineage: Bacteria
Description: partial 16S ribosomal RNA
Rfam family: Bacterial small subunit ribosomal RNA
Source: RNAcentral